Molecule: ribosomal RNA, 429 nt
Filed under: bacterium
Lineage: Bacteria
Description: partial 16S ribosomal RNA
Rfam family: Bacterial small subunit ribosomal RNA
Source: RNAcentral
UAGGGAAUCUUCCACAAUGGACGCAAGUCUGAUGGAGCAACGCCGCGUGAGUGAAGAAGGUUUUCGGAUCGUAAAGCUCUGUUGUUGGUGAAGAAGGAUAGAGGCAGUAACUGGUCUUUAUUUGACGGUAAUCAACCAGAAAGUCACGGCUAACUACGUGCCAGCAGCCGCGGUAAUACGUAGGUGGCAAGCGUUGUCCGGAUUUAUUGGGCGUAAAGCGAGCGCAGGCGGAAUGAUAAGUCAGAUGUGAAAGCCCACGGCUCAACCGUGGAACUGCAUCGGAAACUGUCAUUCUUGAGUGCAGAAGAGGAGAGUGGAAUUCCAUGUGUAGCGGUGGAAUGCGUAGAUAUAUGGAAGAACACCAGUGGCGAAGGCGGCUCUCUGGUCUGCAACUGACGCUGAGGCUCGAAAGCAUGGGUAGCGAACAGG